Molecule: non-coding RNA, 30 nt
Filed under: Rattus norvegicus (Norway rat)
Lineage: Eukaryota; Metazoa; Chordata; Mammalia; Rodentia; Muridae
Source: RNAcentral
UGAGAAUGUGUCUUCCCCUCCUACCUCAAU